This 417-nucleotide unclassified non-coding RNA is filed under the name uncultured fungus. Its description in RNAcentral is "partial contains 5.8S ribosomal RNA and internal transcribed spacer 2". The stretch from base 1 to 133 matches the Rfam family "5.8S ribosomal RNA", at positions 22 to 154 of the family's 154-position model. The record is from RNAcentral. Lineage: Eukaryota; Fungi.
UGGUUCUGGCAUCGAUGAAGAACGCAGCGAAAUGCGAUAAGUAAUGUGAAUUGCAGAAUUUUGUGAAUCAUCGAAUCUUCGAACGCACAUUGCGCCUUUUGGUAUUCCGAGAGGCAUGUCUGUUCGAGCGUCGUUUCAACCAUAUUGUAUCUCAUUUUUUGACGAAAAUGAGAUGUCAAUGUCUUGAGCACCUUUUUUGUCUUGCUACAAAAAAUGCUUCAAAGUAAAUGUCAGCGAUCUACUCAGAUUUAUAUUAAGCGCAUUAAAAGAAUUUUACCUACAAAUCCUUACGUUUAAACAAAAUGUGAAUCGUAGAGCAGCCAGAUGUUAAAAAUCACCAGUUCUUCUUGUGUAACAGCAAGAAAACUGUGAAACAAUCCAAAAAUCGACCUCGGAUCAGAUCAGACUACCCGCUGA